UUUUGAAAAGUGGCCCUUCUAUAGAAAGCCAUCUGGCUUUAGAUUGAUUGACAUGGAUUUUAAUGUCUUAUUCGAAACGGGAAAUGGCCUGUUAAAUAAGUGGGAGACUUGCUUAAAUAAUCUUACAUCAUUUUUAUGCAAAGAUAAUCACGUGAAAGAUAAAUCCAUAAGAGCAUACCUACAAAUGUUGAAACAGGAGACACUUUCUGAAAAUGGUCGUGAUGCAAUAGUUUUUUGGAGUCUCCAUGGUUACUUGGUUCCAACCCAAAAAAUUGUGAAAAAAGAUUUGACUGGCAAAAAAAGUACUAUAAAAUUUACUAUUAGAGAUUCUCAGGAAUCUUUUGUUUACUUUGGUAAAUCUCAUCAAGAAAUAGAGGAUCAUCUUAUGAAUC
Nylanderia fulva is the source of this 392-nucleotide long non-coding RNA. RefSeq lists it as uncharacterized. The record is from RefSeq and is a predicted model, not a curated record. Lineage: Eukaryota; Metazoa; Arthropoda; Insecta; Hymenoptera; Formicidae.